UCCNCUUUGAUAUGUUAGUGGAUAACUCAG
RNAcentral lists this non-coding RNA (30 nucleotides) under Mus musculus (house mouse). Lineage: Eukaryota; Metazoa; Chordata; Mammalia; Rodentia; Muridae. The record is from RNAcentral.